Carassius gibelio (silver crucian carp) is the source of this 308-nucleotide long non-coding RNA. RefSeq lists it as uncharacterized. Lineage: Eukaryota; Metazoa; Chordata; Actinopteri; Cypriniformes; Cyprinidae. The record is from RefSeq and is a predicted model, not a curated record. The transcript is spliced from 2 exons.
GGUCAGCGCGAAGAGAAUGUACCCCAUGAUUUAUCCUCCCUAAUCCACCCCAACAUUUCUCAGCUGUCACCUGUAACCUGACUCAAUACCUGUGAGUGAUUGGCUCAGACAAGAUUGUUUGGAGUGUUCUGUGAGUCGUCCUGUCCCUGGCUGUCUUGUUCCUGCAGUUUUGUUCUGGUCUGUAUUCCACGGAAGACUGGUUGCCCAUCUCCGUCCCUGUGCUGCCAGGAGAGGACCCUCGUGUGCUUGCUCAUGUCUGACCCAUCGCUACAACUCUUAUUGUUUUCUCAAUAAAGAACUGAGAUUUA